GACGAACGCUGGCGGCGUGCUUAACACAUGCAAGUCGAACGGAAAGGCCCUGCUUUUGUGGGGUGCUCGAGUGGCGAACGGGUGAGUAACACGUGAGUAACCUGCCCUUGACUUUGGGAUAACUUCAGGAAACUGGGGCUAAUACCGGCUAGGAGCUCCUGCUGCAUGGUGGGGGUUGGAAAGUUUCGGCGGUUGGGGAUGGACUCGCGGCUCAUCAGCUUGUUGGUGGGGUAGUGGCUUACCAAGGCAUUGACGGGUAGCCGGCCUGAGAGGGUGACCGGCCACAUUGGGACUGAGAGACGGCCCAGACUCCUACGGGAGGCAGCAGUGGGGAAUAUUGCACAAUGGGCGGAAGCCUGAUGCAGCAACGCCGCGUGCGGGAUGACGGCCUUCGGGUUGUAAACCGCUUUCGCCUGUGACGAAGCGUGAGUGACGGUAAUGGGUAAAGAAGCACCGGCUAACUACGUG
This 468-nucleotide ribosomal RNA is filed under the name uncultured bacterium. Its description in RNAcentral is "partial 16S ribosomal RNA". It matches the Rfam family "Bacterial small subunit ribosomal RNA", at positions 28 to 507 of the family's 1533-position model. The record is from RNAcentral.